Molecule: unclassified non-coding RNA, 595 nt
Filed under: uncultured Lewia
Lineage: Eukaryota; Fungi; Ascomycota; Dothideomycetes; Pleosporales; Pleosporaceae
Description: sequence contains 18S rRNA gene, ITS1, 5.8S rRNA gene, ITS2 and 28S rRNA gene
Source: RNAcentral
UUAAGUUCAGCGGGUAUCCCUACCUGAUCCGAGGUCAAAGGUUGAAAAAAAGGCUUGCUGGACGCUGACCUUGGCUGGCGAAGAGCGCGACUUGUGCUGCGCUCCGAAACCAGUAGGCCGGCUGCCAAUGACUUUAAGGCGAGUCUCCAGCGAACUGGAGACAAAAGACGCCCAACACCAAGCAAAGCUUGAGGGUACAAAUGACGCUCGAACAGGCAUGCCCUUUGGAAUACCAAAGGGCGCAAUGUGCGUUCAAAGAUUCGAUGAUUCACUGAAUUCUGCAAUUCACACUACGUAUCGCAUUUCGCUGCGUUCUUCAUCGAUGCCAGAACCAAGAGAUCCGUUGUUGAAAGUUGUAAUUAAUUACGUUGUUACUGACGCUGAUUGCUAUUGCAAAAGGUUUGUGGUUGGUCCUGAGGGCGGGCGAGCCCACCCAGGAAACAAGAAGUACGCAAAAGACACGGGUGAAUAAUUCAGCAGGGCCGGCCCCGCCGCGCACGCCGUGAAGCAGUGCCCAGCGGGGGGUGUCCAGCCCGCCUUGUUAUUGUGUAAUGAUCCCUCCGCAGGUUCACCUACGGAGACCUUGUUACGACUU